Homo sapiens (human) is the source of this 96-nucleotide small nuclear RNA. The record is from Ensembl. NCBI's taxonomy places the organism in Eukaryota, Metazoa, Chordata, Mammalia, Primates, Hominidae.
GUGCUCGCUUCGGCAGCACAUAUACUAAAAUUGGAACGAUACAGAGAAGAUUAGCAUGAGGAUGACACGCAAAUUCGUGAAGCGUUCCAUUUCUUU